ACAGAGGGUGCAAGCGUUAUUCGGAAUUACUGGGCAUAAAGAGCGCGUAGGCGGUCUGAUAAGUCUGAUGUGAAAGCCCUGGACUCAAUCCAGGAAGUGCAUUAGAUACUGUUAGACUUGAGUACAGGAGAGGAGAACGGAAUUCCUGGUGUAGAGGUGAAAUUCGUAGAUAUCAGGAGGAACAACAGAGGCGAAGGCGGUUCUCUGGACUGUAACUGACGCUGAGGCGCGAAAGCGUGGGGAGCAAACAGG
RNAcentral lists this ribosomal RNA (252 nucleotides) under uncultured bacterium. RNAcentral's name for it is "partial 16S ribosomal RNA". It matches the Rfam family "Bacterial small subunit ribosomal RNA", at positions 525 to 776 of the family's 1533-position model. The record is from RNAcentral.